UCAUUGUGCAUGGGCAACAAGUGCAUCCAUGUGUUUCUCUUGGGAAGAUGAAGCUGUUUUUUCUUGUUACUCCCUUGCCUAGGAUUUACAAAGAUCUUAUUUUUCCUAAACUGAAGCUGCCCUGGUAAGUACUACAAACCACACCCAGGCGUGUGGCUGAAAGCAUACUCAGUUUUGGAAGGCAGACCCCAGUAUUCUGGCUUAAGGCAACUAUUGGAAAGGCUGUUCCAUUUAAGAGGCAAGGAAACAGCUGCCUCUGUUUCCUGUGUUCUACUCCCUGAGCCUGGCACAGCUUUGCCG
Molecule: long non-coding RNA, 300 nt
Filed under: Monodelphis domestica (gray short-tailed opossum)
Lineage: Eukaryota; Metazoa; Chordata; Mammalia; Didelphimorphia; Didelphidae
Description: lncRNA (ENSMODG00000041034.1)
Source: RNAcentral